AUUCUUUCAAAGACUUCAAGGAAAGAAAGGUUGAGGCUUAUUUUAUCCCUACAUAAGAAAUACACAUCAAAAGCAAAAUCAGAAUCUGUUAAGUUUCGUAGGUCAAAUUCCACGGGACCAACAGGAAAUCUCACUCACUGGAAAAUGGUAAAAUUGAUAGCAUUGGAAAGAUCUACGUGUCGACUUUCCAGGGACACAAACCAUUUGGUCACACCUACCAUAUUGAGUGAGUUAUGGCUGUUUCCGUAAAGUAGGAUUAAUCUGUCCGAGAAUCUGAUUAUGGCAAAACAGUUAACUUCGACUGGACUUUGUGAAUAAUUCCUAACGAACCAGAAUAUAUGUAAUAUAUGGUUGGAAAGCUAAAUGAGUCUAGUUUCCAAAACCGUUUACGGUUUUUUCAUACGUAUUUUUUAGAGGAAGUUACGACUAUUCUAGUACCCCAUGGUCAUGUUGCGCGAAAAAAUGAUUUCCAGCGCGAACUUAUGUUUUGAGUUCACAAGCGGCCUUCUCCUCAAGAUCUAGUGUAAAAGAUCGUUUGAGUACAAUACUACAUGAUCUAGUUAAUCAUUGCCCAACACAUUUGAAGACAUGUUAAAGAACAAUGACAUGCAAAGUUAUUGAAACUUCUGUGAUUAGUAAGAAUCAAGAAGAGUCCUAUGAUUGAUGUAAAGAUCACGGGAAGAUGCAGACUUUAGGGGGAGUCUAACACGUACAUGUCAUUAUCAAAUGUGAAGGGUGCAGUUGUGUCGUAUCAACCAUGUUGUGCUCUUUUCCCUUAGACCAAGACUUUUGUCCCACUGAGUUUUUGCUUGGCAAAGUUUUUAAUGAGGCAAUAUCGCAGGCACCGUUUGUCUCUUGCAAAGAUCAUUGAUCAACAUGAAGUUGUUCAUGAAUGUGUUUGGUUAAGGUUAAUCAUUACACAUGGCAGAGUUGCUUAAGUCUUGGUCUAAAUCUAAUUUUGAGAAACAUGUGAAAAGCAUUGGAAUGCAGCGUUUAUCAAGUCUCUCCGAUUAAGAAACUUAUCAGGGGGAGCAUCACAUGAUCGAGUUCUCAAUGAAGUAGUUGGUGCGUUGUACUCAUUUUCUCCUACGAUCAAGGUUUAGUUUUUCUCCCACAAGGUUUUAUUACUUGACGAGAUUUUUGACGAGGCAACAUAUCAGCACCACCGGCAUAGUGGCGCGAGACACAAGGGGGAGUAUUCUACAAUAUUCUGCAUCCUUCUAAGACAUUCUUUAUGUGUGUCUUGGCCUUUUGCCAACAUGAUAUGUAGUUAUAAUAAGACUAUGUAUUCAUUAUUAUUAUCAUAUUGAUACUUUGUAGUUCUCUAUAUAAAGGGCUCAUAUCAAUGAAUAAGAUGAUGAUUCUCUUGCUAUCUCAUUCUCUACAGUUUAUACUUCAUCAAAGACACAUAUAUAAAAGGGGUAACGUUGAUGUCAAUUGGAUUAAAUUGGUAGCCUAUAUGAUAUCUUUUAUUUCAAUAACCAACAAGGCACAACUUGUAACACCCUGACCCAGGUGUUAGGAAAAAUAAACGAAUAAAAUAACUAAGAAAAUUCUAAAUCAAAACGGUGGUAGGACCUCAAAACAAACAAAAGGUUUGUUAUGUUUGAAACCUAAAUUUAUUUUGUUAAUUUGCGGCUGCACCCAAAACUCGAUCGGGCUGCCUACGUACCCUUUUAAAGGGAUCAAGCCACUCGUAGUUCAUCAUUUUAUACUAAUUAUCCACCUUCAAUAACAACUGUGUCGAAUCUGGAAUUUGUGUGGGUGUACGUCCUCAAAUUGAUAAGGACACCUAAGUUCUCAAUCCCACACUUCCUCUCAUUUUCUCCGAUAGUUUCCUAAUUACAUACCAUGCUCGCUCAUAUUAAGUUCAUCGUCACGUUCCAAUUCACCUUUAAGCUUGCUCAUAUCAACACUUCAAUUACUAACCUAUCUCUGAUUUUACUAUGGACACCCAACACCUCUAUUUGGAAUUCCUCUUGCUUCUGCGAUUCUUCCCAAAUCCAAUACCAUGCUCAUUCUUUUUCACCAUUCUACAAUAUCGUUCUAGGCAUACGAACUUACUCAUAAUGAACAAGUACACCUACAGAUACNNNNNNNNNNNNNNNNNNNNAUAUGAAUCAAACACCUUCACCGCCGCCGUUGAACAGCAGCACACACGGCGGUCCUCCUCUGCCAAAACCCAACUUCUUCAAAUCCCAACCAAUCUCAAUUCCAAUUAUAUAAACAAGUAGAGCUCGACUAACUGACCCAUUUUCAUACCUGAGUCGACAUCAAAGCACACCGGAAUCCGUCGAACUCUCGCCGGAAAAUUUAAACCACUCCUUAACAUCGGUUCUCACUCACCGGACCUCAUCUCAGCAAGCUGAAGGCACAAGAACGUCGACAAGACCGAGACAAAGCUACCAACACCAUCCACGCCUGCCGCCAUGGCCGGAAUCGAGAACUCGCCGGCAACCCAGAAAAGUUUCCCUUCUUCGAAUCUCUCUCUCCUCAGCUUCCCAUGAAAAUCCAAUGGCACAGAGACGUCAGGGAGAACGAGACCAAACUGCCAAUACCGGUCACGCUCGCUGCCGUCGCCGGAAUCGUAAAUCCAAUCGUAAAUCCAAUCACCUUCUGUCCUCCUUUUCUCUCUCACCGGAGCUCCACUCUUCAAAAUGGAAUCAUAGGGAGAUUGGGGACGUCGAGACGGGCCUGUAGAUACCAACCUUGCACCGGAAGGCGGCCGGACGACGAAGGAGGGAGCUGAGCUCCGUCGCUACAGAGCCGCUCUCCCGACCGAGUCGGUCUGUCCUUCUACUCCUUUCUCUCCCGAACCUUCUUUUCUCUUCCCCCCCCCCCCCCCCUUCCUCGACCCUUCUCAUUUUCUCCAAAAAAAUAUCCACAUCCCUUUACCGAGAUAAUAACUUUCGGUAAAGGGAACUUUCCGUUUUAGAUCAUAACUUUCUUAUACGAACUCCGAUUUGAGCGUGCCACGUGUCCACGAACUCGUAUUAACGUCCUCUACGACUUCCAUGAAGGAAGUUUUCCCAAAUUAUCGACUUAACGAAAAGUCAACUUUUGGAUCCUUUACUGUAAAACAGUUACAAUAAACAAUAAUUGAAAAUUUACUGUAAACUUCAUAAAUUCACAAAACAUAGCUCAUCACUUCGAAAAAUAAUCCAGGCAUACCGGUGAGCUCGUAUAAACGUGUACCACGACUUCGGAGUUUUAAAUCCACCAUUUACCGUUUUCAAAAACAAACUCGAGCAAACACUAUUUAAAUCUCUGAACGCGAAUAAAGAAAAAUCCGCGGUAACUCAUAACCCCGAACAGUAACCUUUUAUGUACGGGGUAUUACAAUCUUUCCCCCUAAAAGAAAUUUCGUCCUCGAAAUUUCACUAUUAGUCAAACGGUCAAUACCCAUAACAAUUCACUUUCUUUUCUAAGUCGGGUUUCAGUACCCAUAACAUAUUUUUUCCAUUUCCCUACUUGGGAACUCGACUUUUAUUAAUCUCAUAAAUCAAUUAUGAAACUAAUCAUUUUAAAUACCAAGUGUUCCUAUUUUACAAAAAUACCACUCUACUCCGAGUAAUUAUUUCGCUUUCUGAAAACAAAUAGGAGAUAACAAUAUCUAACCUCGUUGUUCUUACACGAUGUUAUCAACCUAACAGGGUUUAUGGACAAUUCACAACCAUACUAUAUCUCCCUACAUAAACAAUCUCUAUGACUUUUUAAGUCCUAACGUAGGUAUACUUACCUGCCCAAAAAGAAAUCAAGUCCCUUUGGACUUACCGACUCAAUGAGGAACGAGUCAACAUCGUCGUCAAUGUUUUACAAUCUUCGACGACCAAAUAAAAACUGAAGGAAAUGUAUCUCUCUAUCAAUCAAACACCAACACAAGGAGAUCAAUCCUCGUAAAAGAUCAACGUACACAAUACCGGCUAUACUUCUAGCCUUCCAUACCUCAAGUAUGAGGAAAAACACAGUGAAACUCCAUAACCGGCUUCCACAAUUAAAUAAAUGAUUUACCGUGUGAGUAGAAGGUAUCUCAUCACCCAACCUGAGUUCGUUAUGCACUCGCUAUCCACGAACUCAGUUCUAAUUAACAUUUACGUGACAUGAUGUCUAUGAAUCAUCAUACACGAUAUAAGUUGCUUUCCAGCUUCCCACAUCUUUAAAAAAUGAGGGAAAUACGAUGGCACUCUAUAACCAGGUUUAACUUCAAAACUCAUUGUCUAAAAACAUCAUAGUAAGUAUCUUAUACGACCCAUAUAUGUCAUAUACUUACAUAUACUUACAUAUGACCGCGUCCUUACAUUAACAUAACAAUUCCUUGAAUAUGAAGAAACGAUAACUACCAAUUAGCUAAUCAUAACUAUCGCUCAAAAUGAGCAAUACAGCAACAUAGCACAAAUCAUGUUCUCUAACUCAGAAUAUAUCAUAUAACCACAAAGACUCAGACCACACGACACUAUGUCAUCAUGGUAGUCUGUUAAUUCCCACUGAAGAUACUAUACGAACCAGACCAGCACAAUGGUCAUUGUCCAGAAUCUAUUGUGCCAACAUCUAUAUAUUACCAAUCAAGGCCAAUUUCAAAUGUUCAAAUCCCAGUAAUUCACACUAACAGUACUUACCGACUCGAUUCCAGAAUCAAUAUAAGUAGUACGUGGAAUUUACGAACAUCAGUUAGUAACCAAACUUUAACAUAAUCACCAUCCAAAAUUGGUAUGAUCGGUCUCAAAUACCACUAGUAUCUGAGAAAGGUCCUGUGGGACCACCUUUAAGGAAAUUCUUCUGAAAAUUCAGCAGAACUUCCCUUAAAAGUGGACUAUCCUUGACCUGUAAAAAUAAUACACAUAGCCCAACAUAAACAAAUUUCUGGAGCGUACUGCUCCCGAUAUAUUCACAUUGUCCAAUGGACUAUAUAAUCAUCCAUCUUAUAUCCAUAAAUGCAGAUUAUUAAAUCUACAAAUCGGAUAUGCAUUAACUCAUACUUACUUAACAGAGUAAUUCAUCAUUACAAAUCAUGAAAUCCGAUUAAUUAAUAAUAAUCCAAAUAUGAAAACCACAACUUAUAUCAAUAAGGUAGAAAACCAUACCUGCUCACACCUGUGAAAGUCACAUUUACCGUUUCAUAGAAGCAUGAUGCAAUCCCCGCACUCAGCGGUAAAUCUCGGCGCUCAGCCAUUAACCCCACACUUGGUGGUAAUACCCCGCACUCUCGGCGGUGAAAAUCCGACACACGGCCGUAGAACCUCGCACAUUGCGAUACAAUAUCCCUGCCCUUGGCAGUUAUCCCGGCACUCGGCCGUAAAUCCCCACACUCAGUGGCAAUUAUCUCAGAAGUUCGCAAUCAAAUCUGGCAUUGGCAGCAAUACCCGACAUUGUGUGGUAAAACCCGGCACUUGGUCGUAACCAGUGUGGUAAGCCUACGCCCCCCAGGCAAGACGUGGUCUCACCCACACUAAACCCCGCACGUGGCGGUAACCCAGUACAGUAUCCUACGCCCCCGGGGCAAGGCGAGGUCACACCCGUACUGUAAACCCAGCCGAAGCUGUAAACCCAGCAUAUAGCUGUAAAUCACCCCACACAACAUGCCAGAAGGGUAUAACUGCCAAUACCAAAGUUGGAAUCGCCUGCAUCAAACCACUAUACCAACAUUAGUAACAUGCUUAAACCGUUGCACAUACUAAUUGAGUUCAUGUAGAACAAUUAUAAUAUAACCGCUUGUAUCAAAUUAUUUCAGAAAUUUUUUUUUUUUUAAUACAUACCUGCAUCCUCGAGAGAAUUGCACUGCAUCAUACUUAUAGCAAGCAACUCAAAUAAAAGGAUUAGUGAUUUAUAUCAUAAAAUCACAUAUAUGAUGACCCAAGUCAUGGAUUAGUGUCAUGGUGUGGGUCCCAGCGACCAUAACAUAAUAGCACAUGAUAAUAGUAUAAGUAAAUUACGUAAUACCAGAAUGAUAUUAACAUAACAUUCACCAACUCAAAUCAUGAUAAUAGUCAUGCAACUAAAUGAAUUAAGUGAUACAGGAGGAGGCACACAUAAUUAUAUACCACAUAAUCUAUAGAUAUAUAUACACAACUAGGUUGCCGUACCUGAUGUCCAGAAUUGUGUCCUUCUCAUCGUUCCAAUACCGAAGUGCUUAUAAACACAUCUCGAAACUUAAACGAUAGUAAGCACUUUAUUCACCUUGUCAACAUAUAUGAUCAUUUGUAGUUGAACAGUGCAAGUAACAUAAUAUACAUGUUCCAUGCACAAGUAUUUAAGGAAGAAGCUUCCUAGCUCAUACCUCAUCAAAAGUAUAUAAGUUCCUUAGAAAUCAAACUCACACCACAAGGUAGCUCACUAUCAGUUAUUCAUCACAAUUAACACCUGUUUCAAAUAAAACUGACAACUAGUUGUCAUAAUAUCAUCCGGUUUCAUUCUUCAACUUAAGGAUAGUUCUGAGAGACAUGCUUCUCUCAUAAUUCUCAAUACAUAAGUACAACAUCAAAUUUCACAUGGAAGGAGUAUUGAAACCUAGGUUAAGUCUUGUGCCAUCCAGGCAUCCACUAUACUGAUUCUCAACCCAAGACAAGAAAAUUUCGUAAUAAGAUUCCGUCAAGAAAAAAAAACGUAGAUGUACCAACAAUGGUCUACAUGAUAUUCCCGCACACAAGGUUUCCCAAGUGCUCAUUUUAGAUCAGUAAUCCAAACCCAAUUUAAACCAAACCAAGAAGACAUUCCUCUAAAGUUUCAAAACCAAAUGUCAACAUAAUAGAAAUAUAGAAUCAAAUAUAGCAUUAGGCAUCCCCGUAAUAGUAGAAACAAACCAAGCAUUCAUCAAACCACCCAAAUCAAACCAAAUAAUAGCAAAGGGAUGCAAUAGUCAAACACUAAUAUAGCAGUCCAAAAACAAACAACUCAACACCACAAAUUAUUGGAGCGACCAUGGAAGCCAUCAGUUUAUUCGUUCAUAAAAUAAACGAAGUUUGUUUGCAACUUGCAAAAAUUAAGAACCUUGUACCAGACCAUAUAAGAGCAAGAUAAGUCAUUAUAAUGCAAUAGUGGUAGCUAUUGACUACCUAAAAGUUCCAAAAUCCUUUCCUCUCUACCUGUUCACCCCAAGGGAUCCUAUCCCCGCUCUUAUACCAAUUUGUAACACUCUGACCCAGGUGUUAGGAAAAAUAAACGAAUAAAAUAACUAAGAAAAUCCUAAAUCAAAACAGUGGUAGGACCUCAAAUCAAACAAAAGGUUUGUUAUGUUCGAAACCUAAAUUUAUUUUGUUAAUUUGCGGCUGCACCCAAAACUCGAUCGGGCUGCCUACGUACCCUUUUAAAGGGAUCAAGCCACUCGUAGUUCAUCAUUUUAUACUAAUUAUCCACCUUCAAUAACAACUGUGUCGAAUCUGGAAUUUGUGUGGGUGUACGUCCUCAAAUUGAUAAGGACACCCAAGUUCUCAAUCCCACACUUCCUCUCAUUUUCUCCGAUAGUUUCCUAAUUACAUACCAUGCUCGCUCAUAUUAAGUUCAUCGUCACGUUCCAAUUCACCUUUAAGCUUGCUCAUAUCAACACUUCAAUUACUAACCUAUCUCUGAUUUUACUAUGGACACCCAACACCUCUAUUUGGAAUUCCUCUUGCUUCUGCGAUUCUUCCCAAAUCCAAUACCAUGCUCAUUCUUUUCACCAUUCUACAAUAUCGUUCUAGGCAUACGAAC
Molecule: long non-coding RNA, 7683 nt
Filed under: Fragaria vesca (wild strawberry)
Lineage: Eukaryota; Viridiplantae; Streptophyta; Magnoliopsida; Rosales; Rosaceae
Description: long non-coding RNA (FVES_LNC003690)
Source: RNAcentral